Long non-coding RNA from Ostrinia nubilalis (European corn borer), 552 nucleotides. RefSeq lists it as uncharacterized. The record is from RefSeq and is a predicted model, not a curated record. Lineage: Eukaryota; Metazoa; Arthropoda; Insecta; Lepidoptera; Crambidae. The transcript has 3 exons.
AUGAUGCAGAGGAGGCGACAUAGCCUAGAGCUUAUUAAGUUCAGUUGGUUAUAAUGUCAGUGGAUGACUCCUCAGCUGAUUGAUAACAGCAGUGUAUGUUGUCACUCAUGUUGGACCGUGGCCACGGUGUGGCUCUGCACCAAUCAAGGACAAAUAAUAUUUCAAAUGAAGAAGCAACCACUAGCACUGGUCACUGUUAACGUGGAUUGUCUUUGUUACAAAUACGUUCCAUAGACUGCAUAUUAACACGGAAAGAGAAUCACAUAUUCGAAAAUAAUGUAAUAAUGGAACAGAUUUCACCUCGUCAACUGCGGGGAUCUGACCAAAUAUGUCAUCCUUAAGUGGCAGUGAGCUGAUCGAGCUGCUACACAUGCUGUGGAGCCCCAACAAACACAUGAUGGGACGAGGAUUCAUUUGCCCUGAUAUUGGCCGAAUAACAGUAGGUUGCUGUGCUCAUGUUAUGACAAUUUUGUGGUUUUUGAGCUGGGCAAGGUAUCAGGAACAUGUAUUUCCACCUGCCUAGUUCCUAGACAAUAUUUUAUUGACCCAUGA